Bactrocera oleae (olive fruit fly) is the source of this 2251-nucleotide non-coding RNA. NCBI's taxonomy places the organism in Eukaryota, Metazoa, Arthropoda, Insecta, Diptera, Tephritidae. The record is from RefSeq and is a predicted model, not a curated record.
AAAAAUUCAAAUGUUGGUAAGCUUGGCUAUUUUUCCAUUACCAGCUGUUGCGAAAUGUCAUCCACCGGACUGACGAGAUCACACAAAUUGUGAUAAUAUCGACAAUACUAAUAUUAUUAAUAAUAAUAAUUAAUGCAGUUGAAGACAGCUUCCUGUACAUUUUACUCCUUCGAAGCAGUUAACAGUUAAAUUUAAACAAUGUAAUUAAAUCAUUGUAAAAUAUAGAUAAACAAAUUAUAUAAAACGAGAUAAAAAGGAUCAAGAUAAAAAGGUAAGGAUUGCAGGUAUACAUAAAUGUCAUUGGUGCAUUAUUAAACCAAGAAUACAGAGAUAGUUUAUGGGUUAAGAGUAGUCAGAACUUUCAAAAGAAAACGGUUUUUUGUUUUGCAUUUUCUUAAAGAAUAAUAUCUUAGAAAUAUUCUCCGAAAAUUUGAAGCUUAUUGUACAAAUAGUUCCGGAGAUAUGAGCGUAAGUUGUAAGUUGUUCUUAACUCAGUGUAGUUGGCUUCUCAAACUUAAAAUAAGUUUUUUUUUCAAAACUAUGUAUUUUGUAGUGGUGACCACUGUUGCUUGAAAACCGCUCGGUAAUUUUCAAUGAAAUUGAUUUACAACUUUUUGAAAAUAUGAAAAACAUGUGUCUGAUCGAAAAAAUUUCCUAUGACCGACAGUUUGUAAUUAAAAAAAAGAAUCGGACAGGCACUAGGUUAUCUAUUAAUAAAACUAAUUUUUCUUCGUCCAAUUGAUUUAAAUGAAAAAUUAUUUAAAAUUUUAAUGUUUCUGCCAACACCUAAUAUAUUAAUUGCAAUUGAAUCUUUAAAAUUUAUUUGUUAAUAUUUAAUUGUUCGUGGGCUUAACUCAACCCUGUAUACUUUUAUGGCGUCAUUUCCGUGAAACGCAAAUUAAAACAGUAACUGGCCGAAAUUGUAAGCUCUCGUUCUUGGAUCAAACAAGGAGAAGUAUGAGCGCAAAGAGUAAAAAUUCACAGAUAAUAACGUAAUAAAUAAGUAUAAAGAAUUAAUGAAUUGAUACUAAGUUUGGAAGACACUGUGUACCUAUUUGAUGCAAUUGUUUGGUUUGUGUCUGGACUAACGAGACAUUCGGUAAGGAAUGAUAGCAGCACUGUUUUACCAUCGGAAUAAAACGGAACUACCAAUAUUCGUUACUCUGGCAACUAAUGCUUUGAGAAAUAUUAAGGAUCCAACAAUAGGCCUUGCUUUUAUCGCCAGGCUUUUAAAUGAAGGAUCAUAUCUAGUGUGACAGCUUAAAAAACGUCGAUUUUUGGGAAUAAAAAACAAAAAACUUUUAUAUACUUGUAGUGUUUUGAAAUUUUCAGAGUAUAUUUAUACACAUUUAAGGAAUACACAGCGAAGUUUAAAAAAAUAAAAUUUAUUGAUUUUUUGAGUUAUACGAGAUCUUCGACGGCGCAAAAGAAGCGUGCUUCACUGCUGCAGUGAUUCCGGCCUUCUUCGUGGAUGAAACCUAAAAAUAAAAAAUUCUCGAACACCAGAAGAUAUUCUCCGUACAAAAAAAAUUGUUAAAAAAUAUUAAAAUUUACAAAAUGAUAGCGUUUUAAAAAAAAAUUCAAUUUUACCCCAAAUUUUUGUUGUUUUUAGCCUGCCAAGACUUAAUUUUUCAUCAGAUCAAAAAACCAAUUGGUCAUUAUAGGUAGAAUUAUAUACAAAACAGGCAGAUAAUAAUUUCAUGUGGAUCAGAUCAUUUGUCUUCGAGUUAUCACUGCAGAAAAUUCGAAAAAUGCUGUUUCGAGAAAAACGCGUUUAAGAGGGUCAUCCAUGUGAUAGGCUCAAAAAAUCGAUUUUUUUUUCAUAAAUUGCUUUCUUAACAUGUCUAGAAUACGGUAGUAAAGUGAUUUUUAAAAAUUCGAAGUCAUUUUAAAGACACAGCAGUUAGAAGAAGGAACUGUUCGGAGCGCUGAGUUGGCAGACCUGGAACUUUAAACGCGUUUUUUUUUUAAAUUGUGUGUUUUUACACUUUUCUCCGUCGUAUCUCAAAAAGGUUUGACCGAAUGACUUGAAAUUUGUAGGCAUAUGUAAACGCAUGGAAGGGACUAUUAUCAAUCCAAAAUUAUCAUUAUAUAUUAUAUUAUUUCCAAGUUCAAGACGCCGCUAAUUUUUUUUGUUUCAGAUAAGCCAAUCAGCCGGAGGCGGGGUGUACACAACGCUGUAACUCAUGUUCUAUAUGAUAUUUUUAGCUUCAAAUAUAUAUUUUUACUGUCAAAAUAUAUGUUAAUAAAA